GACGAACGCUGGCGGCGUGCUUAACACAUGCAAGUCGAACGGAAAGGCCCUGCUUUUGUGAGGUGCUCGAGUGGCGAACAGGUGAGUAACACGUGAGUAACCUGCCCUUGACUUUGGGAUAACUUCAGGAAACUGGGGCUAAUACCGGAUAGGAGCUCCUGCUGCAUGGUGGGGGUUGGAAAGUUUCGGCGGUUGGGGAUGGACUCGCGGCUUAUCAGCUUGUUGGUGGGGUAGUGGCUUACCAAGGCUUUGACGGGUAGCCGGCCUGAGAGGGUGACCGGCCACAUUGGGACUGAGAUACGGCCCAGACUCCUACGGGAGGCAGCAGUGGGGAAUAUUGCACAAUGGGCGGAAGCCUGAUGCAGCAACGCCGCGUGCGGGAUGACGGCCUUCGGGUUGUAAACCGCUUUCGCCUGUGACGAAGCGUGAGUGACGGUAAUGGGUAAAGAAGCACCGGCUAACUACGUG
This 468-nucleotide ribosomal RNA is filed under the name uncultured bacterium. RNAcentral describes it as "partial 16S ribosomal RNA". It matches the Rfam family "Bacterial small subunit ribosomal RNA", at positions 28 to 507 of the family's 1533-position model. The record is from RNAcentral.